AGUGAACGCUGGCGGUAGGCCUAACACAUGCAAGUCGAACGGCAGCACAGUAAGAGCUUGCUCUUACGGGUGGCGAGUGGCGGACGGGUGAGGAAUACAUCGGAAUCUACUUUUUCGUGGGGGAUAACGUAGGGAAACUUACGCUAAUACCGCAUACGACCUACGGGUGAAAGCAGGGGAUCUUCGGACCUUGCGCGAUUGAAUGAGCCGAUGUCGGAUUAGCUAGUUGGCGGGGUAAAGGCCCACCAAGGCGACGAUCCGUAGCUGGUCGGAGAGGAUGGUCGGCCACACUGGAACUGAGCCACCGUCCAGACUCCUACGGGAGGCAGCAGUGGGGAAUAUUGGACAAUGGGCGCAAGCCUGAUCCAGCCAUACCGCGUGGGUGAAGAAGGCCUUCGGGUUGUAAAGCCCUUUUGUUGGGAAAGAAAAGCAGCAGGUUAAUACCCCGCUGUUCUGACGGUACCCAAAGAAUAAGCACCGGCUAACUUCGUG
Molecule: ribosomal RNA, 492 nt
Filed under: uncultured bacterium
Lineage: Bacteria
Description: partial 16S ribosomal RNA
Rfam family: Bacterial small subunit ribosomal RNA
Source: RNAcentral